ACUAAGCGUACACGGUGGAUGCCCUGGCAGUCAGAGGCGAUGAAGGACGUGCUAAUCUGCGAUAAGCGUCGGUAAGGUGAUAUGAACCGUUAUAACCGGCGAUUUCCGAAUGGGGAAACCCAGUGUGAUUCGUCACACUAUCAUUAACUGAAUCCAUAGGUUAAUGAGGCGAACCGGGGGAACUGAAACAUCUAAGUACCCCGAGGAAAAGAAAUCAACCGAGAUUCCCCCAGUAGCGGCGAGCGAACGGGGAGGAGCCCAGAGCCUGAAUCAGUGUGUGUGUUAGUGGAAGCGUCUGGAAAGGCGCGCGAUACAGGGUGACAGCCCCGUACACAAAAAUGCACAUGCUGUGAGCUCGAUGAGUAGGGCGGGACACGUGGUAUCCUGUCUGAAUAUGGGGGGACCAUCCUCCAAGGCUAAAUACUCCUGACUGACCGAUAGUGAACCAGUACCGUGAGGGAAAGGCGAAAAGAACCCCGGCGAGGGGAGUGAAAAAGAACCUGAAACCGUGUACGUACAAACAGUGGGAGCACAGAGCAAUCUGUGUGACUGCGUACCUUUUGUAUAAUGGGUCAGCGACUUAUAUUCUGUAGCAAGGUUAACCGAAUAGGGGAGCCGAAGGGAAACCGAGUCUUAACUGGGCGUUAAGUUGCAGGGUAUAGACCCGAAACCCGGUGAUCUAGCCAUGGGCAGGUUGAAGGUUGGGUAACACUAACUGGAGGACCGAACCGACUAAUGUUGAAAAAUUAGCGGAUGACUUGUGGCUGGGGGUGAAAGGCCAAUCAAACCGGGAGAUAGCUGGUUCUCCCCGAAAGCUAUUUAGGUAGCGCCUCGUGAAUUCAUCUCCGGGGGUAGAGCACUGUUUCGGCAAGGGGGUCAUCCCGACUUACCAACCCGAUGCAAACUGCGAAUACCGGAGAAUGUUAUCACGGGAGACACACGGCGGGUGCUAACGUCCGUCGUGAAGAGGGAAACAACCCAGACCGCCAGCUAAGGUCCCAAAGUCAUGGUUAAGUGGGAAACGAUGUGGGAAGGCCCAGACAGCCAGGAUGUUGGCUUAGAAGCAGCCAUCAUUUAAAGAAAGCGUAAUAGCUCACUGGUCGAGUCGGCCUGCGCGGAAGAUGUAACGGGGCUAAACCAUGCACCGAAGCUGCGGCAGCGACACUGUGUGUUGUUGGGUAGGGGAGCGUUCUGUAAGCCUGUGAAGGUGUGCUGUGAGGCAUGCUGGAGGUAUCAGAAGUGCGAAUGCUGACAUAAGUAACGAUAAAGCGGGUGAAAAGCCCGCUCGCCGGAAGACCAAGGGUUCCUGUCCAACGUUAAUCGGGGCAGGGUGAGUCGACCCCUAAGGCGAGGCCGAAAGGCGUAGUCGAUGGGAAACAGGUUAAUAUUCCUGUACUUGGUGUUACUGCGAAGGGGGGACGGAGAAGGCUAUGUUGGCCGGGCGACGGUUGUCCCGGUUUAAGCGUGUAGGCUGGUUUUCCAGGCAAAUCCGGAAAAUCAAGGCUGAGGCGUGAUGACGAGGCACUACGGUGCUGAAGCAACAAAUGCCCUGCUUCCAGGAAAAGCCUCUAAGCAUCAGGUAACAUCAAAUCGUACCCCAAACCGACACAGGUGGUCAGGUAGAGAAUACCAAGGCGCUUGAGAGAACUCGGGUGAAGGAACUAGGCAAAAUGGUGCCGUAACUUCGGGAGAAGGCACGCUGAUAUGUAGGUGAAGUCCCUCGCGGAUGGAGCUGAAAUCAGUCGAAGAUACCAGCUGGCUGCAACUGUUUAUUAAAAACACAGCACUGUGCAAACACGAAAGUGGACGUAUACGGUGUGACGCCUGCCCGGUGCCGGAAGGUUAAUUGAUGGGGUCAGCGCAAGCGAAGCUCUUGAUCGAAGCCCCGGUAAACGGCGGCCGUAACUAUAACGGUCCUAAGGUAGCGAAAUUCCUUGUCGGGUAAGUUCCGACCUGCACGAAUGGCGUAAUGAUGGCCAGGCUGUCUCCACCCGAGACUCAGUGAAAUUGAACUCGCUGUGAAGAUGCAGUGUACCCGCGGCAAGACGGAAAGACCCCGUGAACCUUUACUAUAGCUUGACACUGAACAUUGAGCCUUGAUGUGUAGGAUAGGUGGGAGGCUUUGAAGUGUGGACGCCAGUCUGCAUGGAGCCGACCUUGAAAUACCACCCUUUAAUGUUUGAUGUUCUAACGUGGACCCGUGAUCCGGGUUGCGGACAGUGUCUGGUGGGUAGUUUGACUGGGGCGGUCUCCUCCUAAAGAGUAACGGAGGAGCACGAAGGUUGGCUAAUCCUGGUCGGACAUCAGGAGGUUAGUGCAAUGGCAUAAGCCAGCUUGACUGCGAGCGUGACGGCGCGAGCAGGUGCGAAAGCAGGUCAUAGUGAUCCGGUGGUUCUGAAUGGAAGGGCCAUCGCUCAACGGAUAAAAGGUACUCCGGGGAUAACAGGCUGAUACCGCCCAAGAGUUCAUAUCGACGGCGGUGUUUGGCACCUCGAUGUCGGCUCAUCACAUCCUGGGGCUGAAGUAGGUCCCAAGGGUAUGGCUGUUCGCCAUUUAAAGUGGUACGCGAGCUGGGUUUAGAACGUCGUGAGACAGUUCGGUCCCUAUCUGCCGUGGGCGCUGGAGAACUGAGGGGGGCUGCUCCUAGUACGAGAGGACCGGAGUGGACGCAUCACUGGUGUUCGGGUUGUCAUGCCAAUGGCACUGCCCGGUAGCUAAAUGCGGAAGAGAUAAGUGCUGAAAGCAUCUAAGCACGAAACUUGCCCCGAGAUGAGUUCUCCCUGACCCUUUAAGGGUCCUGAAGGAACGUUGAAGACGACGACGUUGAUAGGCCGGGUGUGUAAGCGCAGCGAUGCGUUGAGCUAACCGGUACUAAUGAACCGUGAGGCUUAACC
This 2894-nucleotide ribosomal RNA is filed under the name Escherichia coli O157. Its description in RNAcentral is "bacterial LSU rRNA". It matches the Rfam family "Bacterial large subunit ribosomal RNA". Lineage: Bacteria; Pseudomonadati; Pseudomonadota; Gammaproteobacteria; Enterobacterales; Enterobacteriaceae. The record is from RNAcentral.